This 397-nucleotide ribosomal RNA is filed under the name uncultured bacterium. Its description in RNAcentral is "bacterial SSU rRNA". It matches the Rfam family "Bacterial small subunit ribosomal RNA", at positions 521 to 916 of the family's 1533-position model. The record is from RNAcentral.
UAAUACGUAGGGUGCGAGCGUUAAUCGGAAUUACUGGGCGUAAAGCGUGCGCAGGCGGCUUUUUAAGCCAGAUGUGAAAUCCCCGGGCUUAACCUGGGAACUGCAUUUGGAACUGGAAGGCUAGAGUGCGGCAGAGGGGGGUAGAAUUCCACGUGUAGCAGUGAAAUGCGUAGAGAUGUGGAGGAAUACCGAUGGCGAAGGCAGCCCCCUGGGUCGACACUGACGCUCAUGCACGAAAGCGUGGGGAGCAAACAGGAUUAGAUACCCUGGUAGUCCACGCCCUAAACGAUGUCUACUAGUUGUUGGAGGAGUGAAAUCCUUUAGUAACGAAGCUAACGCGUGAAGUAGACCGCCUGGGGAGUACGGUCGCAAGAUUAAAACUCAAAUGAAUUGACGG